Scomber japonicus (chub mackerel) is the source of this 146-nucleotide long non-coding RNA. RefSeq lists it as uncharacterized. The transcript is spliced from 3 exons. NCBI's taxonomy places the organism in Eukaryota, Metazoa, Chordata, Actinopteri, Scombriformes, Scombridae. The record is from RefSeq and is a predicted model, not a curated record.
ACCUGUGACAUGGCAGGUAAAGGCUGCCAAGACAUAGUGUGUACUCUGCAGAAAACAACUACCUGCUAUAGCUGGAUAUGAAGCUGAUGAGAGCUGUGAGAGUCAACCAAAACAGGAGGUCGGAGGUCAGGGUCAGCUGCAGAGCA